AUACGGAGGGUGCAAGCGUUAAUCGGAAUUACUGGGCGUAAAGCGUACGUAGGCGGUUCGUUAAGUUAGAUGUGAAAGCCCCGGGCUUAACCUGGGAACUGCAUUUAAAACUGGCGGACUAGAGUUGAGUAGAGGGAAGUGGAAUUUCAGGUGUAGCGGUGAAAUGCGUAGAGAUCUGAAGGAACACCAGUGGCGAAGGCGACUCCCUGGACUCGAACUGACGCUAAGGUACGAAAGCGUGGGUAGCAAACGGGAUUAGAAACCCGGGUAGUCC
Molecule: ribosomal RNA, 274 nt
Filed under: uncultured bacterium
Lineage: Bacteria
Description: partial 16S ribosomal RNA
Rfam family: Bacterial small subunit ribosomal RNA
Source: RNAcentral